This 449-nucleotide ribosomal RNA is filed under the name uncultured bacterium. Its description in RNAcentral is "partial 16S ribosomal RNA". It matches the Rfam family "Bacterial small subunit ribosomal RNA", at positions 29 to 523 of the family's 1533-position model. The record is from RNAcentral.
AACGAACGCUGGCGGCAUGCCUAACACAUGCAAGUCGAACGAGAGCUUCGGGUCUAGUGGCGCACGGGUGCGUAACGCGUGGGAAUCUGCCCUUUGGUUCGGAAUAACAGUUGGAAACGACUGCUACUACCGGAUGAUGACGAAAGUCCAAAGAUUUAUCGCCAGAGGAUGAGCCCGCGUAGGAUUAGCUAGUUGAUGUGGUAAAGGCGCACCAAGGCGACGAUCCUUAGCUGGUCUGAGAGGAUGAUCAGCCACACUGGGACUGAGACAGGGCCCAGACUCCUACGGGAGGCAGCAGUGGGGAAUAUUGGACAAUGGGCUAAAGCCUGAUCCAGCAAUGCCGCGUGAGUGAUGAAGGCCUUAGGGUUGUAAAGCUCUUUUACCCGGGAUGAUAAUGACAGUACCGGGAGAAUAAGCUCCGGCUAACUCCGUGCCAGCCGCCGCCGUAA